ACCUAAUAGAUACCCUGGUAGUCCACGCCCUAAACCGAUGCGAACUGGAUGUUGGGUACAUUACGGUACUCAGUGUCGAAAGCUAAACGCGUUAAGUUCGCCGCCUGGGGUAGUACGGUCGCAAGACUGAAACUCAAAGGAAUUGACGGGGGUCCCGCACAAGCGGUGGAGUAUGUGGUUUAAUUCGAUGCAACGCGAAGAACCUUACCUGGCCUUGACAUCUGUCGAAUCCUGCAGAGAUGCGGGAGUGCCGCAAGGAACGACAAGACAGGUGCUGCAUGGCUGUCGUCAGCUCGUGUCGUGAGAUGUUGGGUUAAAGUCCCGCAACGAGCGCAACCCGUUGUCCCUAGUUGCCAACACGUAAUGGUGGGAACUCUAGGGUAGACUGCCGGUGACAAACCGGUAGGAAGGUGGGGUAUGACGUCAAGUCCUCAUGGCCCUU
RNAcentral lists this ribosomal RNA (442 nucleotides) under uncultured bacterium. RNAcentral describes it as "bacterial SSU rRNA". It matches the Rfam family "Bacterial small subunit ribosomal RNA", at positions 771 to 1203 of the family's 1533-position model. The record is from RNAcentral.